UCUCUCUCUCACUCACUCUGUUUCACUUCAAAAAAAAAACAGAGCAUUAGUUCUCUAACUCUGUUCUUCCUCCAUCAACCACCUCCAGACGUCGGAUCACUCCCUUUGGCUUCGCCUGAGGCUGCUCUACCUACUGGACGUCGUCUUUUUCCCCGGCACAGCCUCAAGGUUUGGCAAACCAGCUCGAACCCGGUUGCACCCGAAAACGAACUAACUCAUCCUCCUCGUGUUUCCGGCCACCAAUUCCCCCCAAACUUCAUCCCCGAACUCGCCUCAACGUCCUGAAGCUCCCAGAAGUGGCCUUGCACGGCGGCGCUACUCGUGGUGGCGGCUGGAAGCCAGACCCGAUCAAAUCGAAAACCGAAGCUUCGAUCGAUAUAUCUCGCGCUACAGGACGUUGUUUUGAGUGUUUCUUGAACUGGUGAACUCAGAGUGAGGAUCUGAACAACUUUCCAGAAGGUAUCGAGGCCUGAAGUUGCAGUUUUUACGUCGAACUAGGAGCUCGCCGGUUUCUGGGUUUUUCCGGCCAACCGACUGGUUUGAGGUAAUUUCUAUUCCUUCCGGUCAUUUUCAGACUUCGUGCUAGUUAUGAAAGUUGUCAAGCAUGAUGAGAGGAAGAAGAGCAGCCCGGCCCCGACACCAUUGGUGGUGGUCGGCGGCGGCUCUGCCACUAACUCCGGCGGCCCUUUCCGGCCACCUCCGGGGAUCAAAAAUAUGGUUUCUGUACAUUUUCAGAUUCUAUAUUUCAAUACGAUCAUUUUGAUAUAUUAUACACAAUUUUUGGAUAUCAUAUGAUUAAGUUAUGAAUUUUACGAUUUCGAUCGAUUUCGAUCGUUCGAUUUGUGAUAUGUGAAGAUCGGACCGUCCGAUGGACUUGUAGUUUUGAUAUGUUGAUCUUAUGACUGUCCCAGUGGCUUUGUGUGGUCAUGGGCGAAGAUCCGACCGUUGGAUCUUCGUAUAAUUGCUAAACAGUGAUUAGGGAGGCGAUUCGUGAGAAUCCGUCCGUUGGAUUUUCGUAUAAAUUAGCGGAGAUGUUAGUAAGGACAAUUCAGGAAGAUCUGACCGUUGGAUCUUCGUGAUGAUUUUUGGAGGAUGAUCCUAAAGGCGAUCUGUGAGGAUCCGACCGUUGGAUCAUCAUUUAAUUUCGAUCCGACCGUUGGAUUGUCGUUUGAUUUUGUUUUUGAGUUAUUGGCUAAGUUAAGGUCAUGUCUGAUUAGGUGAUCGACGGUUUGAUUUGGCGGACGAUUCGUGAAAGUGUAUUUUGAGCUGUUAAGAAGACGCAGCGGGAAUUUAGAGCGGGUAAUCCUACAGGACAGGAGAAUCAGGAAGGUGAUCGAGCUGUGUAGAGUAGCUGCUUGUGAUACUCUGAUUUUAUGUUGUGAGGUUCGUUAUGCUCGUUUAGAGUUUUACAAUUUUACUUUGUAAGAGGGAAUUGUAAUAAUUAACUCGAAGUUUACCGAUUUGGAAAUUUUGUGUAAGUGGUGGAGUUGUUUCUGAGAAAAGAA
Rosa rugosa (rugosa rose) is the source of this 1505-nucleotide long non-coding RNA. RefSeq lists it as uncharacterized. NCBI's taxonomy places the organism in Eukaryota, Viridiplantae, Streptophyta, Magnoliopsida, Rosales, Rosaceae. The record is from RefSeq and is a predicted model, not a curated record. The transcript has 2 exons.